This 840-nucleotide long non-coding RNA is filed under the name Equus caballus (horse). RNAcentral's name for it is "lncRNA (ENSECAG00000039070.3)". The record is from RNAcentral. Lineage: Eukaryota; Metazoa; Chordata; Mammalia; Perissodactyla; Equidae.
GAUACGGUGGAAGAGCCUUGACACCCUACCAGUUCUCAGAGGACAGGGAAGGGUGGCAGUGACUGGAAACUGCUUAAAUUCCUAGCGCUGUUCAACAGGAAGUUGGAGAAAAGGUCUAAAGGUCUAAUGGCCUCAUAAUUAAGGGCUUCUUCUACUCCACAAGUUUAUAAUCAGGAGUUGUCCUGCAGGAAGAAAAGCAAAGGACACAACAAAUGAGAAAGUCACUUUUGCGUUGAGAAUUGGCUAGCCUAGAGGAUGGAAGGCAGAAGACCUUUCCAACACGUUAAGAGCCAAAAGACUACCUUUUAGUGUUUGUUUUGAUUAUAUUUGCCUGUAACCCAGCAACUGGGCCCAGAUGCCAGGAGCCCAAAGAGAACACUGCUGAUGACUGGUGUAUGGAAAGAAAAAGAAUUCCUUUUGUUUUCUUACUUUUAUGGUUCUUCUCAAGAUAUACAGAAAAAGGAGAAUACAAAGCAGGUCCUUCUUGAUCAUCUUUGUAACCAGAUCUUACAGGAAACAGCAGAAGGAGCUCUGGCUGGUGGUCAGGCAUCACUCCCACCUUGGCCUGGUGUUUUCAGGCCAGUUGGAUGUGGUGGAAAUUGCAUGAAGAGGAAUUGAGUAGGUCUGGAUCGUCAAUAACUUGCAGAACACGGCUGAUCCAGAAGCUAGACCAAGGAACACUGGUGGUCUCUAUACAAUUCACAGAAAACUGAAGUGGAAUAAAAUGUCCCCCCUUUGCUGUCGCUUAGUUAUUUCUAUUUAUUAUAACAUUUCCUGCACUGAAUAGAUUUUUCUGAGCAUACACAACUGUUUCUUCAAUUUGAGAUACCAAUAAACAGC